This 2023-nucleotide long non-coding RNA is filed under the name Patiria miniata (bat star). RNAcentral's name for it is "uncharacterized LOC119743450". Lineage: Eukaryota; Metazoa; Echinodermata; Asteroidea; Valvatida; Asterinidae. The record is from RNAcentral.
UCCCCCGGAUGACUGCAAUAUUAUGUCAGUCAAAGUACCCAGAUGAGGACAAUAUUAUUUUUUGAUAUUUUCCUAGUCCGGGCAUUUUAACAAUUUUUGCUGGUUCCCACACAAUCAAGAGCGUAGAACCUCACAGUUGUCAACCGGUCAACAGAGCGUAGCGCGGUACCAUCGCACGCGGGCACGGACGCAGCGCGCAGCAUGAUAUACGCGCAGUGUUGCCAACAGCAACAAUGGCAGCUUCGAGUAGUGCAAAAUUUGCUUCCGUAAGCAAAGAAUAUUCGGUGAAAUUUCAGAAAUAAAGACAGUGUCUUGAAAGGUAUUUCUUGCUGAUCAAGUCGGCUUGAUAUAAAUAAUAAUAAUAGUAUUGGAUGGCUUUUUUCCCAGGGGAUACAAGAAUAUAUUGCACUAGCUAUAACAAUAUUGCCCUCGUCAUAGCUCAUGUAAUAUGUUCUUAUAUCCCCCUCAAAGCCAUCCGAUGUUAUAUAUCUAUCUUUAGGGGGGAUUGAUAUGCAAAGAUCCGUCAUGAAAUAAAACACAAACACACAAACAAAAAACGAAUCUCUGUUAAAGGAUUUCUUGAUAACUAGACAAAAUAAAAAAAUUAACAUAAAAAUGCACAAGAAAAAAAUGUCUGCCUUAAUGCAAAAUACUGUACAUAUUUAGAGACCUUAUAAAGUUUAAAACCGUAUAGGUGAAAAUCUACUUUGAUUCACUAAAAUAGGAAUAAAAAAAGUUGCAUUUUAAAGUGAUGUAGUACUGUUUGAUACAAUGCAAGACAUGGUUAGUAGAUCAGACAGUAAACUUAGUGUAUUGUAUAGGUAUAUGAAAUACUGGUUCAAAUCUGGUUUGAACCAGUUCAAACCAGUCUCUACUGGUUUAAACUGGCCCAAUUUAAAGAGGCAAAUGCAUACACACAUUUGAGCGUACGGUUUCUGCAGAGUUUACACUGAAGGGCUGGUCAGUGACAUUAAUGUACAUGUGUGUACAUAUAUGUAAAUAUAUUUUAAAUAUUGAUUACAAAUUCCUGGUAUUUUAAAAAAAAAAUUUCUUUCAUGAUCAACUUCGUGAGACAGAGAAGUGCAAGAUUUGAAUAAAGAAUUCUCAAUUUUACCCAGUUGUAUAUUUUCUGUAUUUUGUCAGAUUUGUUUUUGUUAAAUUUAAUUGUAUACAUGUAUAUGUUUUUCCAUAGAGUAAGGAAUGGAUUGUAUCAUUCAAAUUCCAGGAAAAGAUACUUUAAUAACGUUGUUGGCAUGAGGCGAUUUUGUCUUUUAAGAACCAGGGCUUUCUCCAUACAAGAAUUUCAUUGUUUAUCUUUACCCAACAUUAUCACACUUCUCAAGCAAGACAGCGAAGGCGAGAUUCACGUUUUGGAACCAGUCAGUUCCCCCGAGCUGUCCCCGCACCACGACGGCGAUCGUCUCAGCGAACUGACUGCGCUGGUACGCAAGGGGGAACACCGGGGAUGUCAUGGACCGCAUACCGCAGGAGAUCCAGCGCGUCAUACGUGACAACAACCUGCAGUUCCUGCGGAACCGCGCCAUCUAUGACACCGAUUACUUCACCUUUGUCCGGAGCCUUGCAUCCUGCAAUGUGUCUUUCACACUGAGCAGUUACUACGAUUCCUGUGCCGUCACCAGCCUGCAACUAGCCUUCCUGUUUCUAUUCAACAAUUACUUCCGAACCAAAAAGAAGCUCAGGAUAUUGUAUGCUGCAAACAUCUGUUCACUAAGUCUGCCGUGCGGCGGAUCAUAACGUUCCUCUUUGGCCCACACACUGCACAGAACGAGGAGGAUGUUCAGACGAGGUGAUGGACGUCCCUGCAAACCAAAGAGUUCACUUAUCUCCACACGGUGCUGGCUGUCAUGAUCCUGUACUGUGACGUCUCCAAGUUCAGAACAAUCGAUCAAGGGGAUUAUCCACCGAGGCAGAGGACGUUAAUCAUCCCCACCAGUAAGCCGCUAGCCAUGCCCAGCGACAUGCAACAAAUCCUCUUUGCCACGGAAGGCAUCAAGUACAUCCG